This is an RNA transcript of Symphalangus syndactylus (siamang), 18311 nucleotides long. It is a transcript of the gene named ankyrin repeat domain 16, with no coding region annotated. Lineage: Eukaryota; Metazoa; Chordata; Mammalia; Primates; Hylobatidae. The record is from RefSeq and is a predicted model, not a curated record.
GGAACGCCGGCCCCCAGCGGCUGGAGGCUGGGGCGGCCCUGAGGACGCGUGCGGGGCAGGUCACGCUUGGGCCUGGCUGCCUCAGGAGCCACCCUUCCCGGCGCUGGGCGAGGCUGUGCGCGCCCUCCCGGACUCUCCACUUUGGGGCUUUGCGGUGUGGCGGCGCGUCCCACUCCCUCACGUGUUCAGUCCCGAAUCACGUACGGGCCGCGGCAGCUCCAGGACGGCGGACGCCAGCGCUCUCGGAUCCCCAGGCCCCUCCGUGCUCAUCCCGGACCGCCCCGUCCCUGAGGAAAAACCGCCCCGUGCCCGGGACCGCGGCCUCUCCCACGCGGGGCAGGCCGGGGUUGUGAGGGGGCAGCCCGCCUGCGGACUAGGCCGGGGGGUGUGAGGAGGCUUCUCUGCCGGGGACAAGGCCGGGGGCGUGAGGGGCGGUUCUGCGGGGUUCGGGGCGCGCGGGGCAGGUUGCGUGAAGAGGCUCAAAGUCCCACUCGCCCUCGGCUUCUCUCUGCCCGGCCGUCGGUGUCCCGCCCGCCGGUGUCCCGCCCGCCGCCGCCCGGCGCAGCCUGGCCCGACCCGCGGCGAUGGCCCAGUCCGGGGACCCGCGGCGCCUCUGCAGGCUGGUGCAGGAGGGCCGGCUGCGCGCCCUGAAGGAGGAGCUGCAGGCGGCCGGGGGCUGCCUGGGGCCUGCCGGGGAUACCCUCCUGCACUGCGCCGCGCGCUACGGGCAUCGGGACGUGCUGGCCUAUCUGGCCGAGGCCUGGGGCAUGGACAUCGAGGCCACCAACCGAGACUACAAGCGGCCUCUGCACGAGGCGUCCUCCAUGGGCCACCGAGACUGCGUGCGCUACCUGCUGGGCCGGGGGGCAGCGGUCGACUGCCUGAAGAAGGCCGACUGGACUCCUCUGAUGAUGGCGUGCACAAGGAAGAACCUGGGGGUGAUCCAGGAGCUGGUGGAACAUGGCGCCAAUCCACUCCUGAAGAACAAAGAUGGCUGGAACAGUUUCCACAUUGCCAGUCGAGAAGGCGACCCUCUGAUCCUCAAGUACCUGCUCACUGUUUGCCCAGAUGCCUGGAAGACAGAGAGCAAAAUUAGAAGGACCCCUCUGCACACUGCAGCAAUGCAUGGCCAUUUAGAGGCAGUCAAGGUGCUUCUUAAGAGGUGCCAAUAUGAACCAGACUACAGAGACAACUGUGGCGUCACCGCCUUGAUGGAUGCAAUCCAGUGUGGUCACAUCGACGUUGCUAGGCUGCUCCUCGAUGAACAUGGGGCUUGCCUUUCAGCAGAAGACAGCCUGGGUGCCCAGGCUCUGCACAGGGCAGCCGUCACAGGGCAGGAUGAAGCCAUCCGAUUCUUGGUCUCUGAACUUGGCGUCGAUGUAGAUGUGAGAGCCACAUCAACCCACCUCACAGCACUUCAUUAUGCAGCUAAGGAAGGACAUACAAGUACAAUUCAGACUCUCUUAUCCUUGGGAGCUGACAUCAAUUCUAAAGAUGAAAAAAAUCGAUCAGCCCUGCAUCUGGCCUGUGCAGGUCAGCACUUGGCCUGUGCCAAGUUUCUCCUGCAGUCGGGACUGAAGGAUUCUGAAGACAUCACAGGCACCCUGGCUCAGCAGCUCCCAGGGAGAGCAGAUGUCCUUCAGGGCUCUGGCCACAGCGCAAUGACAUAAGGAUGUUUCCAAGAGGAGGCAAUAAAGCUCAUGGUAAUUCAUAUCCUGCUUAAGUCAGUCACAAAUUCAGCAAAACCAGUUGGAAGCCAGUUUUAUAUCUCCUCCGCUUCAUCCCUUCCCUCCUUCUGCAUGUUCCACUCCUGCUGAGGAGUUCCCAGUGAUCAGGAGGCUGAGUUCCCAGCUCUAUGACAGGCACAUUAUGGAGUCCUGAGCACAGUCAUAAUCUUCCCGUAGUCCAUAUUUCACUGUUUGUACUCUUAAAGUAGAAUAGAUAACGUUUGUGUGAUCAGGCUGUGGGAUCCUUAGAGAAGCACGUACUAUGCAUGAAUAUAAUAUACGUGCUUUCACAAACAUGAAAUAUCUUAUAAUAACUGCUGCAUGGUAAGGCUAUGAUAAUAAUAACAAAAAUAUCACAUACAUUGCUAUUAGCUUGAGCUAUAAAAUGCAGUUGGCCCGUUUAAUUUCUUCCUUCAUAAGCUUUUACUUGGCCAUUACAAUGGUUCACUUUUGGUUUCAUAGCCAAGAAGGACAUACUUAUAAUCUGUUUACACAGGCGUUUACAAGAAAUUAGUAAAAACUUUUAUAUAUUCUAAGCACUGCUAGUUAAGCUAUCAAGUUUUAAUCUUGAGGGUUUUUGUUUGUUUUAAUAGAUAAAUUCAGUAUUGACCCCCUUCAAGUAAUAAAUACACGUAGAAAAUGUAAUUAAGGACCGGGCAUGGUGGCCCAUGCCUGUAAUCCCAGCACUUUGGGAGGCUGAGGCAGGCAGAUCACUUAAGGCCAGGAGUUCAAGACCAGCCUGGCCAACAUGAUAAAACCUCAUCUCUAUUAAAAAUACAAAAAUUAGCCAGGUGUGCUGGUGCAUGCCUGUAGUCCCAGCUACCAGUGAGGCUGAGGCCCGAGAAUUGCCUGAACCCAGGAGGCAGAGGUUGCAGUGAGCUGAGAUCACGCCACUGCACUCGAGCCUGGGCGACGAAGCGUGACUCUGUCUCAAAAAAAAAAAGAAAAUGUAACUAAGAUAUUUACAAAACUUCUGUUAACCUGAGUUGAAGAAUGGGGUUUUGUCUUUAAAACCCAUUUUCUGGCCUGUCCCAUCCACCCACGGAAGCCUCUGACUUAAGGAAAGAAAUACUUGACAUUUGGUUUUAAAAAAUAUUGUAGCCUCUUAAACGGAGUAAAGAUAGGAUGAGUCCUCAGGCAUUUAGAUUCUUUUUCUACUUUUUUUCCUUUUCUUUCUUUUCCUUUUUUGAUCCUUUUCUCUGAAUUGCAAAGAAUAAUUAUUAGUCUAGAUCAGGCUUUUUAAUCAUUGUAUGCAUCAGUCACAAGCAACAUUGAAUCCUCUUGUUUAGUGUGAUCCAGCAAGUGCUUAUUACACACCCACCUUAUUCUCAGUGUUGAGCUCGGUUUGGUACAGAGCAAGAAUUUCCCGUUUGUCUUAAUUAUUCCCAGAUGGCAUCAGCGGAUUCCUGUUUCUAACCACCAAAUCAGUGUUCUGGUAGAAACACUCCUGUCUUGUGACCUCUAAAUUACACACUCUCUCCAUCUGCACUGAUUUGAGAUGCAGUUACCACUUUCCUGUUCCUCCAGAGAUGCCUGCGUCAAUGCCCUCUAGGUCUGAAGAUGGUCCUGUUGUGUGGCUAUUUCACGUGUACAGGUGGGACUGAAAGAUCAGUCUGGGACUGCCCUCUUUCUCCUCAGCACACACGAGCAGCUUUGUGUUUGCAGCAGCUGCGUGCACCAUCAGCUUCCAUUUGGCUUUGUUUCUGCCCUUACAAACCAGCUGAUGGUGACGACACAGCAUGUUACACUGUUGUCCCCGGUUUUCCUAGAUUCCACGCACCUUUGUAAUAGAAACCAUGGCUACUGGAUGCCACUGCUGAAACUACUAAACACCCAGAGAUGGCAGUGAUUAUAAGAACAUUAAUUGUGGGCUGGGCGCAGUGGCUCAUGCCUGUAAUCCCAGCACUUUGGGAGGCCGAGGCAGGGAUCACCUGAGGUCAGGAGUUCAAGACCUGCCUGGCCAACAUGGUGAAACCCCGUCUCUUCUAAAAAUAUAACAAUUAGCCCAGCAUGGUGGCAUGUGCCUGUAAUCCCAGCUACUUGGGAGGCUGAGGCAGGAGAAUCGCUUUAACCCCGGAGGCGGAGGUUGCAGUGAGCCGAGAUCGUGCCACUGCACUCCAGCCUGGGUGACAGAGCGAGACUCCAUCUCAAAACAAAACAAAAAAAUUAGCCUGGCAUGGUGGCAGGCACCUGUAAUCCCAGUUACUUGAGAGGCUAAGGCAGGAGAAUCGCUUGAACCCGGGAGGCAGAGGUUGCAGUGAGCCGAGAUUGCACCACUGCACUCCAGCCUGGGUGACAGAGUAAGACUCUGUCUCAAAAAAAAAAAAAAAUUAAUUGCAGCAAAGACAGUAGCAAUAAUAGAGUAAUAACCAGAUGUUUCCAUAACAAUAAUAUAUGAAGAAUGCUCUGGCGAUGAUAACUAAUAUUUUUCUAUUACUCCCUAAUUAUAGUUACUUCCCUCACUUCCUUUGAGUCUUUACCUACAAGCCACCUUCUCAGUGAGGCCUGCCCAGGCCACCCUAUCUAAAAUUGUAUCCUUUUCUUCAACAUUUGUUAUCUUCUUUCCUCAGUUUAUUUUUUCUUCUUAGGAUUUGCUAUUAGCAAAUGUACCAUAUAAUUCAUUUAUUUUGUUCAUUGUUUUUCUCCCCCACUGGUAUGCAGGCUCCUUGGACUGAUUUUUGUCUUUUAAAUUGAAAAUUAUUAUAUAGUUAAUGGCGAUAAAAGCCCUUUGUGUGCAUUGAGCACUUACCAUAUGCGAGAUAGUGUGCUAAGAAGCCCUUACCUAGCUUGUCUCAUUUUGUCUUCUGACUCUUGCACCCUGCAGCCCCUUCUCAUUAUUAUUCCCUCUGGAGCAUCUUUUCCCAUACACAGUUUCACGUAGAGUCUCUACUUGAUACCCUCAGCUCACAGGCACCUCCCACCCCCCCGCAGUCUGGCGUCAUUGUUGCUGCUCUGUGCAGACUCUUCCUUUCAGAUACCAGUGACGUCCUAAUUGCCAUAUCAAGUGAUGUACUUUUAGCCCUUAGGUUACUGACCCUUUCAGUUCACUUACUGAUCACUACCCCCUUCUGGACUUUUGCCACAUGCAAUAAUGCACUCCUGGGUUUUUCUUUCUGCCUUUUCCUUCUCUGCCUCUGCACCCGUCCGUCAGGCCGGCCCUCCAUGCUCAUGCAUACCAGCUUCUGUCUCCAGCAUCUCCCUCAUUCUGGGUUUUCUCCUGAAGCAUUGUCAUCUGUGCCUCGGGUUUCAGCUACACCCUAAUGUCAGUAACACUCAGAUCUCUCUCUAGCCCUUAGUUUCCACUGCCUGCUUACGUUUCUGCAUGGAUGUUCUGAGGCCAGCUCACGUUGAGUUUAUUCAAAACCCAGCCUUCCCCACAACCCACUGACAUAUCGGCCUGCAUUCCUGCCUCGGUUGAUGGCAUCACAGCUCACCCCACUGUGUUGGAAAGCUGGGGGUCAGUCAUGACUCCUCCCUCUUCGGGAGUCCCUGCAGAGGACAGCUGCUGGGCGGCUCUCUAAUCUGCCUGUUCCACACCAUCCCUACUGUGACUCCUGCCCAAGCUGUCACUCUCCUCCUAGAGAGUGGCAGCCAUGUCUUAAAUACGCCUCUCCACGUCCUCAAAUCCACCCUCCACAUGGCUGCCAGGGCGUUCUCACUAAUGUGACCAAGGGCAUUGAUUGCCAAUUGUGGCUUAACCUGCCUCCCAGAGCACAUACUACACUUUUGCCUGGAUUUCUGAUUGCCUCAACUAACACCCAUUUCCACCAGGGCUGUCAGCUAGUCCUAAAAGCACACCCACUCCCAUGGUGAGUGUGUGUUAUUAAGCUCAAUCAAAGCAGAAGUCUCAGCCAGGUGCUGUGGCUAAUGCCUGUAAUCCCAGUAUUAUGGGAGGCUGAGGUGGGCAGAUCAUGAGGUCAGGAGAUCGAGACCAUGCUGGCCAACAUGGUGAAAUCCCAUCUCUACUAAAAAUACAAAAAUUAGCCGGGCGUGGUGGCACACGCCUGUAAUCCCAGCUACUUGGGAGGCUGAGGCAGGAGAAUCGCUGGAACCUGGGAGUCGGAGGUUGCAGUGAGCCGAGAUUGCCAUGCACUCCAGCCUGGUGACAGAGCAAGACUCUGUCUCAAAAAAAAAAAAAAAAAAAAAAGUCGCUGAAAAGAGAUGCAAAGAGGUGAAAAUUGUAAUGACUUGAAAAUAGCGAGGACCUAACAUAUAUUACCAAAAAAAUUUAUAUGAGAAAAUACACAAGACAAGAUGGAAAGGAUCACAAAAUGGAAACAAGAUGGCAAAAGUCAGGCUAAAGAAGCUGGAGGGAACUAUAGAGAGGGUGCUCAGACAGUGAGAAGAGGGAGGAGCAAGCACUGAAUUUAACCCGGGACGUUGCUAGAAUCCACCAGCAGGUGGCAGGCCAGAAAAAUGUCCCUUUUAAUCUCCCAGACUUGUUUGUAAGGCCUAUUGUAAAAUACAAAAGAUAGUAAAGGAGAAAACAAAAAUAAUCUAUAGUUCCACCACCCAGAUGGAACCACUCUUAUUUCCCCUUAGUCUUUCAAAAUGCAUAUAGGGCUGAGCACGGUGACCCCUACCUAUAAUCCCAGCACUUUGGGAAGCCGAGGCGGGCAGAUCACUUGAGGUCAGGAGUUCAAGACUAGCCUGGCUAAUAUGGUGAAACCCCAUCUCUACUAAACAUAUAAAAAUUGGCCAGGAGUGCUGGGCACGGUGGCUCACACCUGUAAUCCCAGCACUUUGGGAGACUGAGGCAGGCGGAUCGUGGUGUCUGGAGAUCGAGACCAUCCUGGCUAACCCGGUGAAACCCUGUCUCUACUAAAAAUACAAAAAAGUUAGCUGGGCAUGGUGGCACACGACUGUAGUUCCAGCUACUUGGGAGGCUGAGGCAGGAGAAUUGCUUAAACCCGGGAGGUAGAGGUUGCAGUGAGCUGAGAUCGUGUCACUGCACUCCAGCCUGGGCGACAAAGCAAGACUGUCUCAAAAAAAAAAAAAAAAUUAGCCAGGUGUGGUGGGUCACACCUGUAGUCCCAGCUACUUGGAAGGCUGAGGCAUAGAAUCGCUUGAACCCAGGAGGCAGAGGCUGCAGUGAGCCGAGAUCACGCCACUGCACUCCGGCCUGGGCGACAGAGUGAGACUCCCUCUCAAGAAAUAAAAAAUAAAAUGCAGGGCCGGGCACGGUGGCUCAUGCCUGUAAUGCCAGCACUUUGGGAGGCCAAGGAGGGCAGAUCACGAGGUCAGGAGAUCAAGACUAUCUUGGCUAACACGGUGAAAUCCCGUCUCUACUAAAAAUACAAAAAAUUAGCCAGGUGUGGUGGUGGGCACCUGUAGUCCCAGCUACUCGGGAGGCUGAGGCAGGAGAAUGGCGUGAAUCCAGGAGGUGGAGCUUGCAGUGAGCCGGGAUUGCGCCAGUGCACUCCAGCCUGGGCGACAGAGUGAGAUUCUAUCUCAAAAAAAAUACAUAAAUAAAAAAUAAAUAAAAUACAUACAGUUGAGCUGAUGCUGCACACUGCAGUUUUUCCCUUAACUUUGUUUAUUUAUUUAUUUUGGAGACAGUCUUGCUCUGUCACCCAGGUGGGGGUACAGUGGCACAAUCUCGGCUCACUGCAGCCUGCACCUCCUGGGUUCAAGCAAUUCUCAUACCUCAGCCUCCUGAGUAGCUGGGAUUACAGGCGCCCUCCACCAUGCCUGGCUAAUUUUUGUAUUUUUAGUAGAGACAGGUUUCACCAUGUUGGGCAGGCUGGUCUCAAACUCCUGACCUCGAGUGAUCCGCCCGCCUCAGCCUCCCAAAGUGCUAGGUUUACAGGUGUGAGCCACCACGCUUGGCCCUCUAACUUUAUAUUACAAGCCAAUCCUAAUGCUCUUUAAAACUUUGUGAAUGUCGUGUUUCAUGGCCGUCUUAUGCUCCAUCGUAUACUGUCCAUGUUGAGUCUUGUGUGUUGCCUCUUUCAUUGGUUUCCAUUUUCUUUUAAAGAUGUAGACGGAGUAAUCUCUGUCAAAUUCAACUGGAGGCAAGGGCGGCAGGUUGGGGAUGGAAACGGCUGUUGGAUUUGAUCACCGGAGGUUGGGCCGCGUGAGUGGGUGGGAGAUAUGGGCUGCACAGGGGCCUGAGCAACUCUGUGCGCCCUUGGCUGCGUUGUGUGGUGAAGGAAAGGAAAGAAGAAAGCGGUUUGACAGGACAGUAGUUUUCUCCGAGAGGGUGAGUGAGGGGAUGAGCGUGUGGCAUGUUUACAGACUGGGAAAGGAGCCCAGAGAGGGAGGAAGCCAGCAGUGAGGGAGUGAGGGCUCUGUGGGAUAAGGCCCUUUGGAAGGUGCGGGAAGUAGGCUUAGAAGCCCUUGGGAAGCUCAGCUCCAGAGGCAAAAGGAGAGUUUCCUUCUCAGAGGCAUGAAGGAAAGAAGCAGGGCAAGGAGGAAGGAAAAGUUCAAGGCAGAGCCCACAUGGGCGCCUCAUUGAAUGCCAGUAUCUAGGAGGGUGGGGGAUUUGUGGAGCACAUUUAUUACGUUUCCUACAACAAUGGAUAAUAAUAUAGACUUAUAUUUGGCAGUUUUUACGCUUUUUAAAAUUACACUCUUUCAGUUGGAAAGAGUGAUGUGAUUUUUAUUUAUUUAUUUAUUUUUUUAUUAUUUUUUUUUUUUUGAUACGGAGUCUAGCUCUGUCGCCCAGGCUGGAGUGCAACGGCGCAGUCUCGGCUCACAGCAACCUCUGCCUCCCGGGUUCAAGCGAUUCUCCUGCCUCAGCCUCCUGAGUAGCUGGGAUCACAGGCGCAUGCCUCCACACCUGGCUAAUUUUUCUAUUUUUAGUAGAGACGGGGUUUCUCCAUGUUGGUCAGGCUGGUCUCGAACUCCCGACCUCAGACGAUCCGCCCACCUUGGCCUCCCGAAGUGCUGGGAUUACAGGCGUGAGCCACUGCGCCUGGCCACGUGACGUGAUUUUUAUCGAGAAGGAAACAAGAUGGAAGUGAGGGCUGGCCUCUGCCGAUCGUGGUGAUGACAGGGACUUGAUUGGCCUGUGUGAUUAACCCACCCUGCGGCAUUUGCAGAACCUGCCUCCUUCCACCAUGCUGAAAAUGUGAUUGACUUGAUACUGAGGACAGACCUGGGUGCUCCUGGGAAAGCACGGGGAGUGGAUGCAUUUAUCAGCCCAUGCUCUGUGCAGCUUCUGACCUGAGCACAGCAACAGGAGGGGCCUGCAGGCAUUUCGACCAACAUGACACCUCUCUUGGCUUCACCAUAGGUGAACCAGGUCUCUUGUUCCCUCUUCCCACUCUGGAAGGCCCAGCGCAUCCUGAAGGGGAGUGACACCCUGGGGGUAUUUGAAACAACAUUUUAAAAAUAGCAAUGGCCAGGCACCGUGGCUCACGCCUGUAAUCCCAACACUUUGGGAGGCCAAGGCAGGUGGAUCGCUUGAGGUCAGGAGUUUGAGACCAGCCUGGACAACAUGGUGAGACCCUGCCUCUACAAAAAAUACAAAAAAUUAUCUGGGCGUGGUGUGCCCGUAAUCCCAGCUACCAAGGAAGCUGAGGUGGGAGAAUUGCUUGAGCCCAGGCAGUCAAGGCUGCAGUGAGCUAUGAUUGCACUACUGUAUUCCAGCCUGGGUGACAGAGCAAAACCCUGUUUCAAAAAAAAAAAAAGCAGUAGGGAGGGAAUGAGGACUGGCUGGUGCCCAGGCAGAGUCGCAGGGAAGAGAGGCCCAGAGCCAAAGCUGACCUCACUGCAUGGGUGCACUGGGGGCCUCUGUGAAGGGGUCGGUGACGAGCUGGACGAAGAUCAGAGCAGAUUUGAGAGAGAAUGGGAAGGCAGAACCUGGAGCUGGAAAAUGAAGCAGUGGAGAGGGAUGUGGAUCGAUGUUUUGGUUUUUUUAAUGGAGCAGAUUACAGUUUACAGAUUGCUGAGAGAAUGGUCCAACAGACAGGAAGUGAGGAGGAAGAAUGAGUCUAAUGUCCAUACGAAGCAACGAGAGUCUUGUUAAAAUGCAGAUUCCUUCAAACCUGGGAUCCUGAAAAAAAAGAAAAAUGCAGAUUCUCAGAGGGAGAGAGUCCAGGGGUACGGGGGCCAGUCAAAAAAACUACCAACUGGAUACUAUGCUCACUGUCUGAGUGAUGCAAUCCUUACUGCAGACCUCAGCAUCACGCAAUAUACCCAGGUAACAAACCUGCACAUGUACCCUCUGUAUUUAAAAUAACAGUUGAAAUUAGAAACUUUUAAAGAUCCAGAUUCCCACUCACCCACCCCUCCCCCCAGCAACCCCCGGCUGCUUCCAGCUAGUUCCCAGGGGCAGUCAUGGCUGCUGCAUUGAGUAGCUUCUUGUGCAUGAGGGGAAAUACUCGUGUUCACCCUGCUGGUUCCUCCCCAGCUUCAAGAGGGAAAGCCGAGCAGAAGGGCGCCGAGCAGGAGCUGGGGCACUUGGUGCUGGGAGACACCAGGCUGUCUUCUAGGUGCUUCGACUUCUCAGUGAAAUAGGAAAGCAGGUGAUCAGCCGAGAGUGAGGAUGUGGUAUGGGAGGUCUGAGGAGUUAGGGAAGGGUGUGAAAUAGUCCGUUAAGGGAGCAAAGGCCUGGGCAGUGCUUCUCAGGCCCCCACUUGCUGGACACAGGUGGCUGGGCAGCCCCAGAGAGCUUGGCCUUUAGGUCCAGGGUGGAGUCUAGGAAUUUGCAUUUCUUUUGUUCUUUUCCUUUUUGUAAUGGUUUUACUGAGAUAUAAUUGGUACACAAAGCUGCACAUCCUUGAUAUAUACAGUUUGAUUAAUUCAGACAUAUUUGUGCACCCAGGAAACUAUCACCACAGCCAAGGCAAUAAACACAUCCCUCGCCUCCAAAAGCAGGGUAUCUAAUCUUUUGGCUCCCCUGGGCCACAUUGGAAGAAGGAUAAUUGUCUUGGGCCACACAUAAACUACACUAUCACUAAAGAUAGCUGAUGAGCUUUAAAAAAAAAAAAAAAUCACAAAAAACCUCAAUGUUUUAAGAAAGUUUACAAAUUUGUGUUGGGCCACAUUCAAAGCCACCUGAGCCACAGGUUGGACAAACUUGUCCAAAAGUUUCUUCCCACCCCUUUGCUUUUUUUGUCUUUUUGUGGUAUUGUGUCUGGAAUUUAUUCCUUCUGGUGGGUUCUUGGUCUUGCUGACUUCAAGAAUGAAGGCACAGACCUCGCGGUGACUGUUGCGAUCUUAAAGAUGGCAUGUCCGGAGUUGUUCGUUCCUCCUGGUGGGUUCGUGGUCUUGCUAACCUCAGGAAUGAAGCCGCAGACCCUCACGGUGGGUGUUACAGCUCUUAAAGGUGGCGUGGACCCAAAGAGUGAGUAGCAGCAAGAUUUAUUAUGAAGAGUGAAAGAACAAAGCUUCCACAGUGUGGAAGGGGGUUGCCGCCGCUGGCUGGGGGUGACCAGCUUUUAUUCCCUUAUUUGUCCCUGCCCACAUCCUGCUGAUUGGUCUGUUUUACAGAGUGCUGAUUGGUGCAUUUACAGUCCUUUAGCUAGACACAGAGUGCUGAUUGGUGCAGGAUGCUGAUUGGUGCAUUUACAGUCCUUUAGCUAGACACAGAGUGCUGAUUGGUGCAUUUUUACAGAAUGCUGAUUGGUGCAUUUACAGUCCUUUAGCUAGACAGAAAAGUUCUCCAAGUCCCCACUCGACCCAGGAAGUCCAGCUGGCUUCACUUCUCAAUCCUCCCUCUAAACAGGAUACCCCACCUGCUAUUGGGAAUUGGGCGAUGACCACUCUAGCUACUUCCUGCUGGAUAGGAGCAAAGGGGCCCUGCAGUUGUAGCAUUCUCCAGAGGGGAACUCUUUAGGCCAGUGGAAGGCCAGCGGGUUGGUCCAGGGAUCCUCAGUAGAUUGUUAGUUGAGCUCAUUUGGGGUUCCAUUUGUAAGACCAUCUGUAGCUUGAUGGCCUCAAUCCUAGAGGAAACAAAUUUGGCAAGGAGGUUAAAAAUACAGGGCCUGAAGGCGAGUAAUAGCAAGAUGGCUGUCACGGGACCUAGAAAGUGGAAAAGUCACGUCACCCAACUCCAGAGGUUGGUAUGAGAGUUCGAAAGGCGUUGUCUGAUUUCAGAAGCCUUUUCCUGUAAAUGCCAGGCAACAUCUCGUUCUAUCCCUCACUGGUUAGUGUAAAAGCAGCACUCUUACCCUAAGAAGGUGCAAAGUCCUCCUUUCUCAGCAGUGAGGAGGUCUAGGCCUCGGUAGUUUUGGAGAGUCACUGCUGCCAAAGAGUCUAUUUGGGAUUGUAGUUACUAUCCUUACUGGAUAGAUUUCAUUAUUUCUUGCAAACUGUCUGAGAAAUCGUUUGAGAGUGUGUGGUAGUAGGAUAAUGAAGUAGAUAAACCUGCUAUUCCGGUUCCUGUAGCAAUGGCCAUUCCUAAUCCUAUAAGUAGGGGUAUUAGUUGUAUGGCUCUGUGCUGAUGGACUUGAGCUUUGAGGGGCACUGAUAGGGUCUGAUUUCCAUAAGAUUAGAGGUUGGGAUAAUACAUGUUACACUGUUAACUUUUAGCAAACUUUACUUUUGUUGAAAACCUUGUAAGUUUGGGAUUUUAAUUUUUCUUUACUUAAUAAAACCUUGUUCAGUCCAUAUUAACUUAGGAUUGGUAUAGAUGGCUCCUUCCUGAUUCUGUAAGUACUUUAAAGUUUGGCUGAGUGCAAACAGCUCACACGUUUGAGCAUACCAAUUAUUAGGCGAUUUUCCUAACUGUUUCUAGAAGAGUUUCCUUAUCACUUACUGAAUACCCAUUGUGUCCUUUUUCCUUAAUCUCCGAGGAGGAACCAUCUAUUGUCCUGUCCUGAAGGGAGUUCCUCCUAGGUCUGGUUGAACCUUUGUAUGGUAAUAAGAUUUAGAUCCCCUGUUAGGAAACCUGCUGGGUUAAGGAUUUUUUAUAGGAAGGCUAUGGAUUGUCAGUGGCCUCAGUGCUUUUGGGCUAUGCCCUUGCUUACACUGACAACAAGGUGUGAUUGGAGUGUUAUAGGGUAACAGAAAAGAACUUCAAUUAUCAAUUAUAGAUUUUAAAUUUACCCUGGCUUUUAAGGGAAUAGGGUAUACUGUUUUUUCUUUACUACUUCCGUCUCUCUUUCUUUCUCUUUGACUUCUUCUUUGUCUUUCUCUCUCCUUCUGACUCCCUCUUUGUCUCUUCCUCUUUCUUUGACUUUCUGUUUCUCUCUGACUCUUCUUUGUCUGUCUCUUCCUCUCUCUCCUCUCUUUGACUUUCAGCCUCUCUGUCUCUUCCUCUCUCUCUCUCCCUCUUUGACUCCUUUGUCUCUGUCCCUUCCUCUCUCUCUCUCUCUCUCUCUCUCUGUCUCUUUCUCUCUUUCCUUUCUGCUGGUCUUUCCCUGCCUCCGCCAGCCACUUAUGCUGCUGUUCUCCCCUCUCCUUCCCCUUUUUGACGGUUUUGGCAGUGUAAGACCUGCCACCUCCUUGGGUUUUGGCACUGCGUGCAAUAACUCCAUGAUUUCCUUGUGGUAUUUAAUGGGGGUUCCCCAGAGGUUGGGAACCCUCUUUCUUUCCAUAUUGCAGCAUGGGCAUGUAGGAUUAGAUAAGCAUACUUGCUAUCUGUAUACACAUUUAUUCUUCUUCCCUUUCCCAGUUCUAAGGCUCAGGUAAGUGCCACUAGUUCUGCUAACUGCACGCUGGAUCCUGGGGGAACAGGCUUACUUUCAAGUACUGUUACAUCACUAACUAUGGCAUAACCUGCCCUUCAUAUCCCAUUCUCCACCACAAAUGAACUUUCAUCACUAUAUAGGUUAAGGUCAGGAUUAACUAAGGGGACUUCUAAGAGAUCAUCUCGGGUGGCAUAAGUCUGGACUAUAAUUUGAUGGCAGUCAUGCUCAAUUGGUUCCCCAUCCUCUGGGAGAAAAGUGGCAGGGUUGAGGACCACACACGAACGUAUUUGAAGCACUGGUCCCUCAAGGAGUAGUGCCUGGUAUCUAAGUAGGCGGUUGUCUGAUAACCAUAAGCUUCCUUUGGCACCUAUUAUGCCAUUUACAUCAUGAGUAGUCCAGACAGUGAGAUCCUUUCCUUGUAUUAUUUUGAUAGCCUCUGACGCUAUGACGGCCACUGUUGCUACUACCCGUAAACAGUGAGGCCAGCCUUUUGCUACUACAUCAAUUUCCUUACUUAGGUAUGCCACUGGUUGUGGGGUUGUCCCAUGAGUCUGAGUAAGGACCCCAAGAGCUAUCCCUGCUCUCUCUGUGAUGUAUAAAGAGAAGUUUUGUCCUGUGGGAAGGCUUAAGGCUGGAGCUUGUUCCUUCCAAUGCCCAGACUUCAGGGCUGAUUCCCUCCUCAAGCAGGGGACAAUAAAUGGGCAAUUUGCCCCCCAUAUUCAUGUAGAUAAUAGCUUCAGCUUUGGCUAAUACGUCCCUCCCUAAUAAGGGUAUGGGACUUUCAGGCAUAACAAGAAAGGCAUGUGAAAAGAGCAAAGUCUCCCAAUUACAACUGAGGAGGUGGGAGAAAUACCUGGUUAUGGGCUGUCCCAGGAUUCCUUGGAUGGUAACGGACCUUGAGGACAGCUGUCCAGGACAGGAGAUUAACACUGAGAAGGCCAUGCCAGUGUCCAGGAGGAAGUCGAAUUCCUGGCCUUCAAUGGUUAAAGGUACCUGGGGCUCAGUGAGGAUGAUGCCAUGAGCUGGCGCUUGCCCCGGGCACCUUCAAUCCUGUUGUUGGAUCAUCUGGUUGGGGGCUUCUGGCCCAGAGAACCUUUGUCCUCUGGGGCAGUGCACCUUCCAGUGAUUGCCUCGGCAUAGUGGACAUAGGCGAGGGGGCAGCUUGUUUCUCAUUGGACAAUCUUUUUUAAGGUGUCCUUGCAAACCACACUGGUAACAAGCCCUACCAGGUGAUUGGCCUGCUCCAUUUUCUGUCCUCUCUGAACCACCAAGGUUGGUUUGUCUGAGGGCCGUGACUAAGGCUGCAGCCUUUCUCUGAUCUCACUUUUCAGCCUGUUCCUCUUGGUCCUUAUUAUAGAACACUGAGGUUGCCAGGUUUAAUAAUGCCUCUAGAUUUUGUUUAGGGCCCAGGGCUCACUUUUGGAGCUUUCUCCUGAUAUCUGCGGCUGAUUGGAUAAUAAACUUAUCUUUUAGGAUCAAUUGACCCUCGAGUGAGUUGGGCGACAGGGGAGUAUAUUUUCUUAAGGCCUCCCAUAGCUGUUCGAGGAAGGCAGAAGGAUUUUCUUCCUUUCCCUGAGUUAUGGUGGACAUCAUCGAAUAAUUCACGGGCUUUUUCCUAAUUCUCCUUAGUUCUUCUAGAACACAGAUCAGCAGAUGUUUACGACUCCAGUACCCAUGGUCUGAGUUGAGGUCCCAGUGGGGAUCCAUACUGGGGAUGGCUUGCUGACCAGUAGGAAAUUUGUCCCUUUCUUCAGCUGUCAUUCUAUCAUUUACUGACUAAGAUACCAGGUAUCUCCAAACUCUCAGGCUGCAGCUAAAGCCUCAUUCUUUUCAUUAAAGGCCAGGGUUUGAUCUAAUAGUAGCAUGACAUCGCUCCAGGUGAGAUCGAAAGUUUGCCCUAGACCCUGUAGGACAUCUAUAUACCUAUCAGGAUCAUCUGAAAACUUCCCCAGGUCUACCUUGAUCUGCUUUAAAUCAGAGAAGGAGAAGGGGACAUGUACCCAGGUAAGGCCAAAUUCCCCUCCCCGUACAGCUUGAAGAGGACAUAACCAAUAGCGGGGGGCGGGGGGGUUGUGGUCCCUUGGAGAUUUCUUUGCUUGUUUUCUUCUGGGCGGGGGAGAUUAGAGGAGGAUUAUCAUUAAUAGGAAGGGGAGCUAUAGGGAGGCUAGGAUAUGGGGGUAAGCUGAGAGGUCCUCUUGUGGGAUGUAAACUGCAAGCUUUGCAUAGUUGUGGAUUCUCCUUCAAUGAAAAGAAAGCUUGGACAUAAGGUAUUUCACUCCAUUUGCCUUCCCUCUUACAGAAAAGGUCAAGCUGCAGGAUAGUAUUGUAAUUUAUACUUCCGUCAGGUGACCAUUUUUCCCCAUCAGAGAGAGAAUAUUGGGGCCAGGCUGUAGCACAGGAAAAAAUGAGCCGCCUCUUUUUCAGAGUUUGUGCGUCAAAUUGGUCCCAAUGGUUUAGGAUGCAUUUCAAGGGUGAGCCUGUUGAUGCCUGAGUGUUUCCCACCUGGGUCGCCAAAAUGUGUCCAGAAUUUAUUCCUUCUGGUGCAUUCUUGGUCUCACUGACUUCAAGAAUGAAGCCGUGGACCUUGCAGUGAGUUUUACAGUCUUAAAGAUGGCACGUCCGGAGUUAUUUCUUCCUCCCAGUGGGUUUGUGGUCUUGCUGACUUCAGGAAUGAAGCCGCAGACCCUCAUGGUGAGUGUUACAGCUCUUAAAGUUGGCACGGACCCAAAGAAUGAGCAGCAGCAAGAUUUAUUAUGAAGAGCAAAAGAACAAAGCUUCCACAAUAUGGAAGGGGACCCAAGUGAGUUGCCACUGCUGGCUGGAGGUGGCCAGCUUUUAUUCCCUUAUUUGUCCCCACCCACGUCCUGCUGAUUGGUCCAUUUUACAGAGUGCUGAUUGGUGCAUUUACAAUCCUUUAGCUAGACACAGAGCACUGAUUGGUGCAUUUUUACAGAGUGCUGAUUGGUACAUUUACAAUCCUUUAGCUAGACAGAAAAGUUCUCCGAGUCGCCACUUGACCCAGGAAGUCCAGCUGGCUUCACCUCUCAGUAUGAACCUUUAAUAUGAGCUCUGCCCUCUAACUUUGUGAGCGCACAGCACAGUAACAUUCACUACAGGCCUCGUGCUGCCCACCCAUCUGGAGGACUGAUUCUUCUGGCACAGGGGAAACUCGAUCUGAAUUGAGGGCAGCUCCCCCUUCCCUCUCCUGUGGGAUCUGCAUGUCUCCCAGGUUCCGAGAGUUGCCAGGAGCCUGAGCACCUUUCAGUUUUCAGCUCAGAGAAAGCCAAGUGCAACUUGCUUCAGUCAUCCUGAACCUGAAUUCAACCAACCGCAGCUGCCUACGUUUGACCCCAGCGAGAUCAAAGUUGUAUAUCUGAGGUGUACCAGUGGCGAAGUCAGUGCCACAUCUGCACUGGCCCCCAAGGUCAGCUCCCUGGGUCUGUCUCCAAAAAUGGUUGCUGAUGACAUCACCAGCCAUUGACUGGAAGAAUCUGAGGAUGACAGUGAAACUGACCAGCCACAACAGGCCCAGAUUGAGGUGGUGCCUUCUGCCUCUGCCCUGAUCAUCACAACCCUCAGGAACCACCAACAGACAGAAAGAAACACAAAAAACGUGAAACACAGUGGAAGCACCACUUUUGAUGAGAUUGUCAACAUUGCCCAACAGAUGCAGCACCAGUCUUUAGCCAGAGAACUCUCUGGAACCAUUAAAGAAUUCCUCGGGGCUGGGCGCGGUGGCUAAUGCCUUAAUCCCAGCACUUUGGGAGGCCGAGGCGGGAGGAUCAUGAGAUCAGGAGGUCAAGACCAUCCUAGUUAACACGGUGAAACCCCGUCUCUUACUAAAAAUACAAAAAAAUUAGCCAGGCAUGGUGGUGGGAGCCUAUAGUCCCAGCUACUCAGGAGGCUGAGGCAGGAGAAUGGUGUGAACCCCAGAGGCAGAGCUUGCAGUGAGCUGAGUUUGCGCCACUGCACUCCAGCCUGGGCGACAGAGCGAGACUCCGUCUCAAAAAAAAAAAAAAACGGAAUUCCUGGGGACUGCCCAGUCCGUGAGCUGCAAUGUUGAUGGUAUCACAGAUGAUACCAACAGUGAAGCAGUGGAAUGCCCAGCUAGUUAAAGAGUGCAAAGGAAAAUAUUUUCACAAAGGGUUAUCUGAUAACCAAAAAAAAAAAAAAGACAUUUCAUCUAAGCCACUUAACACCGUGUCUGACAUGUAGUAAAUAAUGAAUGUCAAUGAUUCUCAAAGAACCCAGGAAUAGAAAAAGCAUUUAAUAAAAAUUAGCUCUUGGCAUAAUCUCUUCAUCCAUGCCCAGCAGAGCUGUCAGAUGUCUUCCAGGUUCACGAGAAUUCAUUUCUCUGCCCCGUUCCCGCUUUGCACUUGGUAGCAAUUACCACAUGGUUCGCCUUAUGUUAGAACUAUUUGUAUAAGUGGUAGUCAAGGCCACCGAGUCAUGCAUUCCUGGAGGUCAGUUACUAUUUCUUUUUUUGAGACAGAGUCACUCUGUCGCCCAGGCUGGAGUGCAGUGGUACGAUCUCGGCUCACUGCAACCUCCGCCUCUGGGUUCAAGUGAUUCUUCUGCCUCAGCCUCCCAAGUAGCUGGGAUUACAGGCACCCACCACCACGCCCAGCUAAUUUUUGUAUUUUUAGUAGAGACAGGGUUUUGCCAUGUUGGCCAGGCUGAUCUCAAACUCCUGACCUCAGGUGAUCCACCUGUCUCGGCCUCCCAAAGUGCUGGGAUUACAGGCGUGACCACUGCGCCCAGCCUGGGUCAGUUACUAUAUCUUACUCACCUUACAAACCCCAGAAGGCUACACACAGCUCCUGCACAUGGUACGCCUUCAAGGAAUUACCCAUGGAUUUGAAUAAGGUUAUAUAUGAUGUAACACUCAUGCACUUUAUUUCAUUUUUAGUGAGUUUAUAUUCUAAAAUAUUUGCUCCUGGUGAAAAAUAAUUCAGACAGUGCAAAUAAAGAUUAUUCCAAAUAGGAUCAUAUAAUACUCUUGCAA